This 440-nucleotide ribosomal RNA is filed under the name uncultured bacterium. RNAcentral describes it as "partial 16S ribosomal RNA". It matches the Rfam family "Bacterial small subunit ribosomal RNA", at positions 338 to 795 of the family's 1533-position model. The record is from RNAcentral.
CCUACGGGUGGCAGCAGUAGGGAAUAUUGCGCAAUGGGCGAAAGCCUGACGCAGCAACGCCGCGUGAACGAGACGCCCUUCGGGGUGUAAAGUUCUGUUUGUUGGGGCGAAAAAUGACGGUACCUACAGAGUAAGCACCGGCUAACUCCGUGCCAGCAGCCGCGGUAAUACGGAGGGUGCAAGCGUUGUCCGGAAUCAUUGGGCGUAAAGAGUUCGUAGGCGGCAUGUAAAGUCAGGUGUUAAAGGCGCAGGCUCAACCUGGGUAUGGCACUUGAUACUUGCAAGCUGGAGUGCGGUAGAGGUAAGGGGAAUUCCUGGUGUAGCGGUGAAAUGCUUAGAUAUCAGGAGGAACAUCGAUGGCGUAAGCGCUUUACUGGGCCGUAAUUGACGCUGAGGAACGAAAGCGAGGGUAGCAAAUGGGAUUAGAUACCCUAGUAGUC